RNAcentral lists this ribosomal RNA (253 nucleotides) under uncultured bacterium. RNAcentral's name for it is "partial 16S ribosomal RNA". It matches the Rfam family "Bacterial small subunit ribosomal RNA", at positions 524 to 776 of the family's 1533-position model. The record is from RNAcentral.
AACGUAGGAGGCGAGCGUUAUCCGGAGUUACUGGGCGUAAAGCGCGUGUAGGUGGUUGGAUACGUCUGCUGUGAAAUGUCCCGGCUUAACCGGGAGGGUGCGGCAGAUACGGUCUGACUUGAGGGUGACAGAGGAGCGUAGAAUUCCGGGUGUAGUGGUGAAAUGCGCAGAUAUCAGGAGGAACACCAACGGCGAAGGCAGCUCUCUGGGACGUUACUGACGCUGAGACGCGAAAGCGUGGGGAUCAAACAGG